Non-coding RNA from Hordeum vulgare subsp. vulgare (domesticated barley), 134 nucleotides. The record is from Rfam. NCBI's taxonomy places the organism in Eukaryota, Viridiplantae, Streptophyta, Magnoliopsida, Poales, Poaceae.
UUUAUAUUACCUCCGCCCCAAAUUACUUGUCGUAGAUUUGUCUAGAUACGGAUGUAUCUAGACACAUUUUAGUGUUGAUACAUCCAUAUCUAGACAAAUCCACGACAAGUAAUUUGGGACGGAGGUAAUAUAAA